RNAcentral lists this ribosomal RNA (319 nucleotides) under uncultured eukaryote. RNAcentral describes it as "partial 18S ribosomal RNA". It matches the Rfam family "Eukaryotic small subunit ribosomal RNA", at positions 1470 to 1796 of the family's 1831-position model. The record is from RNAcentral.
CCCUUAGAUGUUCUGGGCAGCACGCGCGCUACAAUGGUCUUCGCAAACGGAUGCAUUCUCGAAGGAGAAUGCCAAUCUUGGAAUCUAUGCCUUGGUCGGGACAGUUGCUUGCAAUUUUUCGACUCGAACCAGGAAUUCCUUGUAAUCGUGAUUCAUCACAUCACGAUAAAUACGUCCCUGCCCUUUGUACACACCGCCCGUCGCUCCUACCGAUCGAAGAGUUAGGUGAAUUGUUUUGAUCGAUAAGAUUUGACUAUGGUCAACUCUCGUUGUGAAAUUCUGUGAAUCUGACUGUUUAGAGGAAGGAAAAGUCGUAACA